This 1059-nucleotide ribosomal RNA is filed under the name Triticum aestivum (bread wheat). Its description in RNAcentral is "partial small subunit ribosomal RNA". The record is from RNAcentral. Lineage: Eukaryota; Viridiplantae; Streptophyta; Magnoliopsida; Poales; Poaceae.
AUGACUACACUAGCUACAUGCAAAACAAAAAAACACAUGCAGAUACAUAUGCCAAGAUUAGUUCUAACAAUCACCUCCCUAAUCUUGUCAUGCCAACUCGCCAAAUCCUCAUGCGGAUCACCCGCAACACCUUGCCAUGGACGACGUGCCGUCGCAGCGCCGAAGUCGACAUGGCCAUCAUCACGACGACCACGCCAUCGCCGUGCUGGUCACCACGCCAUCUUGCCGCACCAUCAUGCUGCAAUUUUUGUUGGCUUCUCACCAACUCUUCACCAUGACGAUGGCAUCACACCACCGCCGUCGGCUUCGCACCGACCCAAGCGACAACAUCGCGCCGUCGUCCAUCUUCUUAGCGGCAUCACACCGCGUCUCCUUGCAACAGCAUCGCACCGUCGUCGUGGCGGCAUCGCACCGCCGUCUCCUCCUAGCGGCAUCUUACCGCAACCACCUGUCCGUGCGGCAUCACACCGCCAAACACCUCCUUGUCGUGGACGACGCCGUCGCAGCGCCGGACACCACCGUGCACCAUCUUGUCGUGGUCGACGCCGUCGCAGCGCCGGACACCACCAUGCACCAUCUUGUCGUGGUCGACGCCGUCACAGCGCCCAUCACCACACCAUCAUCAUCUUGCGGCAUCGCACCGCAACCGGCCACCAGCGGCAUCGCGCCGCCAAUGGCCUUCAUCUCGCACGGACGUCCUCCACGUCACAUGGAGUCCGCCGCGUCGUCGUCACCGCCAUCGCUUCCGCGGAUCGACAAGGCUCUGAUACCAAUUGUUGGCGCCGCCUCCCGCAGCGCCGCACUUCUUCUUCUUCCUCUCCUCUCGCAACUCUCACUUGUCUUUCUCUCUUCUCAAGAACACACACAAGGGAAAGAAGACUCAACACACACACACACACACUUCACCGUGGAGAAAGCCAGCUUUGCUAUGUUGCUCCCGGUGAGAACACACACACUACAUUGUUUUUCCCAGCCCUCUCGGCUUCAAUGCUUUUCAUUACCCUGUUGCCAUAUUUAUAUACAAAGGACCAGACUCAUGCCAUGCACACAGGCCACUAA